This 86-nucleotide transfer RNA is filed under the name Halomonas sp. PGE1. Its description in RNAcentral is "tRNA-Leu". It matches the Rfam family "tRNA". From Rfam's summary of the family: Transfer RNA (tRNA) molecules are approximately 80 nucleotides in length. The record is from RNAcentral. Lineage: Bacteria; Pseudomonadati; Pseudomonadota; Gammaproteobacteria; Oceanospirillales; Halomonadaceae.
GCGAGCGUGGCGGAAUCGGUAGACGCCGGAGACUUAAAAUUUCCUGACCUUUGGUCGUGUGGGUUCGAGUCCCACCGCUCGCACCA